UGGGGAAUAUUGCACAAUGGGCGAAAGCCUGAUGCAGCGACGCCGCGUGAGGGAUGACGGCCUUCGGGUUGUAAACCUCUUUCAGUAGGGAAGAAGCGAAAGUGACGGUACCUGCAGAAGAAGCGCCGGCUAACUACGUGUCA
Molecule: ribosomal RNA, 143 nt
Filed under: uncultured bacterium
Lineage: Bacteria
Description: partial 16S ribosomal RNA
Rfam family: Bacterial small subunit ribosomal RNA
Source: RNAcentral